Molecule: ribosomal RNA, 417 nt
Filed under: Hydnum cremeoalbum
Lineage: Eukaryota; Fungi; Basidiomycota; Agaricomycetes; Cantharellales; Hydnaceae
Description: partial 28S ribosomal RNA
Rfam family: Eukaryotic large subunit ribosomal RNA
Source: RNAcentral
UUCUGACCUCGAAUCAGGUGGGACUACCCGCUGAACUUAAGCAUAUCAAUAAGCGGAGGAAAAGAAACUAACAAGGAUUCCCCUAGUAACGGCGAGUGAAGCGGGAUGAGCUCAAAUUUAAAAUCUGGUAGUCUUUGACUGCCCGAGUUGUAAUCUAGAGAAGUGUUUUCUGUGCUGGACUGUGUUCAAGUUUCCUGGAUAUGGAACAUCAUAGAGGGUGAGAAUCCCGUCCUUGACACAGACUUCCAGUGCUAUGUGAUGCACUCUCAACGAGUCGAGUUGUUUGGGAUUGCAGCUCAAAAUGGGAGGUAAAUUCCUUCUAAAGCUAAAUAUUGGCGAGAGACCGAUAGCGAACAAGUACCGUGAGGGAAAGAUGAAAAGCACUUUGGAAAGAGAGUUAAACAGUACGUGAAAUUG